GACGAACGCUGGCGGCGUGCUUAACACAUGCAAGUCGAACGGAAAGGCCCUGCUUUUGUGGGGUGCUCGAGUGGCGAACGGGUGAGUAACACGUGAGUAACCUGCCCUUGACUUUGGGAUAACUUCAGGAAACUGGGGCUAAUACCGGAUAGGAGCUCCUGCUGCAUGGCGGGGGUUGGAAAGUUUCGGCGGUUGGGGAUGGACUCGCGGCUUAUCAGCUUGUUGGUGGGGUAGUGGCUUACCAAGGCUUUGACGGGUAGCCGGCCUGAGAGGGUGACCGGCCACAUUGGGACUGAGAUACGGCCCAGACUCCUACGGGAGGCAGCAGUGGGGAAUAUGGCACAAUGGGCGGAAGCCUGAUGCAGCAACGCCGCGUGCGGGAUGACGGCCUUCGGGUUGUAAACCGCUUUCGCCUGUGACGAAGCGUGAGUGACGGUAAUGGGUAAAGAAGCACCGGCUAACUACGU
This 467-nucleotide ribosomal RNA is filed under the name uncultured bacterium. RNAcentral's name for it is "partial 16S ribosomal RNA". It matches the Rfam family "Bacterial small subunit ribosomal RNA", at positions 28 to 506 of the family's 1533-position model. The record is from RNAcentral.